GACGAACGCUGGCGGCGUGCCUAAUACAUGCAAGUAGGACGCAGUUGCGAACGGGUGAGUAACGCGUAGGUAACUACCUAUUAGAGGGGGAGAACUAUUGGAAACGAUAGCUAAUACCGCAUACUAGUAGAUGGACCUGCGUUGUAUUAGCUAGUAGGUAGGGUAAUGGCCUACCUAGGCAACGAUACAUAGCCGACCUUGGAGGGUGAUCGAGCACACUGGGACGGAGGCACGGCUCCGACUCCUUCGGGAGGCAGCAGUAGGGAAUCUUUGGAAAAGGGGGGCACCCUGACCGAGGAACGGCGCGUGAGUGAAGAAGGUUUUUGGAGCUUAAAGCUCUGUUGUUCAGGAAGCGGUACUUAAACAGAAAGGAACGGCUAACUACGUGCCAGCAGCCGCGGUAAUAC
This 407-nucleotide ribosomal RNA is filed under the name uncultured bacterium. RNAcentral describes it as "partial 16S ribosomal RNA". It matches the Rfam family "Bacterial small subunit ribosomal RNA", at positions 28 to 526 of the family's 1533-position model. The record is from RNAcentral.